GUGAGAGUUUGAUCCUGGCUCAGGAUGAACGCUGGCGGCGUGCUUAAUACAUGCAAGUCGAACGGACAACCAAGGGUGCUUGCACCUGAGGUUGUUAGUGGCGGACGGGUGAGUAACGCGUGAACAAUCUGCCUGUAUAAGGGGGAUAACACUUAGAAAUAGGUGCUAAUACCGCAUAAGACCACGGUGGGGCAUCCCACAGGGGUAAAAGGAGAAAUCCGAAUACAGAUGAGUUUGCGUAUCAUUAGCUAGUUGGUGGUGUAACGGACCACCAAGGCGACGAUGGUUAGCCGACCUGAGAGGGUGAUCGGCCACACUGGAACUGAGAAACGGUCCAGACUCCUACGGGAGGCAGCAGUAGGGAAUAUUGGGCAAUGGGCGAAAGCCUGACCCAGCAACGCCGCGUGAAGGAAGAAGGUCUUCGGAUUGUAAACUUCUGUUGUAAGGGAAAAAUAAAGUGAUGGUACCUUAUGAGGAAGCUACGGCAAACUAUGUGCCAGCAGCCGCGGUAAUACAUAGGUAGCGAGCGUUAUCCGGAAUAACUGGGCGUAAAGGGAGUGUAGGUGGCACCGUAAGUGAGAUGUGAAAGACCGUGGCUCAACCACGGAAUUGCAUUUCAUACUGCGGAGCUAGAGGAUGAUAGAGGUAAACGGAAUUUCUAGUGUAGCGGUAAAAUGCGUAGAGAUUAGGAAGAACACCAGAGGCGAAAGCGGUUUACUAGAUCAUAACUGACACUGAGGCUCGAAAGCGUGGGGAGCAAACAGGAUUAGAUACCCUGGUAGUCCACGCCCUAAACGAUGGAUACUAGAUUUGUGGGAAUCGACUUCUUGCGAAUCGAAGCAAACGCGAUAAGUAUCCCGCCUGAGUAGUACGGCCGCAAGGUUGAAACUCAAAGGAAUUGACGGGGACCCGCACAAGCAGCGGAGCAUGUCGUUUAAUUCGAAGAAACGCGCAGAACCUUACCAACGCUUGACAUUUAAUGCAUAGCAUAGAGAUAUGUGAAGAUUUAUAGCAAUAUAAUUCAUUAAAACAGAUGGUGCAUGGUUGUCGUCAGCUCGUGUCGUGAGAUGUUGGGUUAAGUCCCGCAACGAGCGCAACCCUUGUCUUUAGUUACCAAUAUUAAGUUAGGGACUCUAGAGAGACUGCCGUAGAUAAUACGGAGGAAGGUGGGGAUGACGUCAAAUCCUCAUGCCUCUUACGCGUUGGGCUACAAACGUGCUACAAUGGUCGGUACAAAGAGACGCGAGCCCGUAAGGGGGAGCAAACCUGAAAAGCCGAUCUCAGUUCAGAUUGUGGGCUGCAACCCGCCCACAUGAAGAUGGAGUUGCUAGUAAUCCCGAAUCAGCAUGUCGGGGUGAAUGCGUUCCCGGGUCUUGUACACACCGCCCGUCACGCCAUGGGAGUUGAGGGGACCCGAAGUCGGUGAGCUAACCAGCAAUGGAGGCAGCCGCCUAAGGUCAAAUCGAUGACUGGGGUGAAGUCGUAACAAGGUAGCGGUAUCGGAAGGUGCAGCUGGAUCACCUCCUUU
Molecule: ribosomal RNA, 1528 nt
Filed under: Clostridiales bacterium
Lineage: Bacteria; Bacillati; Bacillota; Clostridia; Eubacteriales
Description: bacterial SSU rRNA
Rfam family: Bacterial small subunit ribosomal RNA
Source: RNAcentral